Molecule: ribosomal RNA, 485 nt
Filed under: uncultured bacterium
Lineage: Bacteria
Description: partial 16S ribosomal RNA
Rfam family: Bacterial small subunit ribosomal RNA
Source: RNAcentral
AGUGAACGCUGGCGGCGUGCUUAACACAUGCAAGUCGAACGAGAACGGAAUAUAGCUUGCUAUAUUUGUCAGCUAAGUGGCGCACGGGGGAGUAAUGUAUAGAUAACCUGCCCUUAAGAAAGGAAUAACAGUUGGAAACGACUGCUAAUGCCCUAUAUGCCUUUAAUACAUAAGUAUGCAAGGGAAACGCUUUAGUGCUUAAGGAUGGGUCUGUAUGGUAUCAGCUUGUUGGUGAGGUAAUGGCUCACCAAGGCUAUGACGCCUAACUGGUUUGAGAGGAUGGUCAGUCGCACUGGAACUGAGACACGGUCCAGACUCCUACGGGAGGCAGCAGUGGGGAAUAUUGCACAAUGGACGAAAGUCUGAUGCAGCAACGCCGCGUGGAGGAUGACACAUUUCGGUGCGUAAACUCCUUUUAUAUAGGAAGAUAAUGACGGUACUAUAUGAAUAAGCACCGGCUAACUCCGUGCCAGCAGCCGCGGUAA